This 475-nucleotide ribosomal RNA is filed under the name uncultured bacterium. Its description in RNAcentral is "bacterial SSU rRNA". It matches the Rfam family "Bacterial small subunit ribosomal RNA", at positions 33 to 507 of the family's 1533-position model. The record is from RNAcentral.
GACGACGCUGGCGGCGCGUUUUAAGCAUGCAAGUCGAAGGAUGCGAUUUUAGCAAUAGAGUCGUAGACUGGCGAACGGGUGAGUAACACGUGAAAAUCUAUCUUAAGAUGGGGGAUAGUCGGUAGAAAUACCGGGUAAUACCGCAUGUGCCGAGAGGUGAAAGCUCCAAUUGGAGCGUCUUUAGAUGAGUUUGCGUUCCAUUAGCUAGUUGGUGGGGUAAUGGCCUACCAAGGCGACGAUGGAUAGCCGGCCUGAGAGGGUGUACGGCCACAUUGGGACUGAGACACGGCCCAGACUCCUACGGGAGGCAGCAGCUAAGAAUAUUCCGCAAUGGGAGCAAUCCUGACGGAGCGACGCCGCGUGUAUGAUGAAGGCAGAAAUGUUGUAAAGUACUUUUGCGCGGGAAGAAUAAUGAUAGGAGUGGAAAGUCUAUCAGAUGACGGUACCGCGCGAAUAAGCCACGGCUAACUACGUG